This 433-nucleotide ribosomal RNA is filed under the name uncultured bacterium. Its description in RNAcentral is "partial 16S ribosomal RNA". It matches the Rfam family "Bacterial small subunit ribosomal RNA", at positions 29 to 507 of the family's 1533-position model. The record is from RNAcentral.
AACGAACGCUGGCGGCAUGCCUAACACAUGCAAGUCGAACGAGACCUUCGGGUCUAGUGGCGCACGGGUGCGUAACGCGUGGGAACCUGCCCUUAGGUUCGGAAUAACUCCCCGAAAGGGGUGCUAAUACCGGUUAAUUUCUUCGGACCAAAGAUUUAUCGCCUUUGGAUGGGCCCGCGUUGGAUUAGCUAGUUGGUAGGGUAAAAGCCUACCAAGGCGACGAUCCAUAGCUGGUCUGAGAGGAUGAUCAGCCACACUGGGACUGAGACACGGCCCAGACUCCUACGGGAGGCAGCAGUGGGGAAUAUUGGACAAUGGGCGAAAGCCUGAUUCAGCAAUGCCGCGUGAGUGAUGAAGGCCUUAGGGUUGUAAAGCUCUUUUACCCGGGAUGAUAAUGACAGUACCGGGAGAAUAAGCUCCGGCUAACUCCGUG